RNAcentral lists this long non-coding RNA (184 nucleotides) under Canis lupus familiaris (dog). Its description in RNAcentral is "lncRNA (ENSCAFG00000057960.1)". The record is from RNAcentral. Lineage: Eukaryota; Metazoa; Chordata; Mammalia; Carnivora; Canidae.
AGCAUUGUAAGCACAAAGAAUAAGACUCCUCAAUCCUGGGAGAGAGAAUUAAAGUCUAGCCCUCCAAAUGGCUAUUCUAAUGUGAUGCUGGGAUUGAGUUUACCUUGGACUCCACAUCAAGGUUGACUCGAAAGUCUUGUAGAAGAUCUGGACGAAAUACGUAAGUGGCCUUCUGGUAAUAAUU